RNAcentral lists this small RNA (125 nucleotides) under Marmota monax (woodchuck). Lineage: Eukaryota; Metazoa; Chordata; Mammalia; Rodentia; Sciuridae. The record is from RNAcentral.
GCUGGGCAUGGUGGCACAUGCCUGUAAUUCCAGCAGCUUAGGAGGCUGAGACAGGAGGAUUGCAAGUUCAAAGCCAGCUUCAACAGUGGCGAGGUGCUUAGCAGUUCAGUGAGACCCUGUCUCUA